RNAcentral lists this ribosomal RNA (285 nucleotides) under uncultured bacterium. Its description in RNAcentral is "partial 16S ribosomal RNA". It matches the Rfam family "Bacterial small subunit ribosomal RNA", at positions 29 to 342 of the family's 1533-position model. The record is from RNAcentral.
AACGAACGCUGGCGGCAUGCCUAACACAUGCAAGUCGAACGAGACCUUCGGGUCUAGUGGCGCACGGGUGCGUAACGCGUGGGAACCUGCCUUUAGGUUCGGAAUAACUCAGAGAAAUUUGAGCUAAUACCGGAUAAUGUCUUCGGACCAAAGAUUUAUCGCCUUUAGAUGGGCCCGCUUGGAUUAGCUAGUUGGUGGGGUAAAGGCCUACCAAGGCGACGAUCGAUAGCUGGUCUGAGAGGAUGAUCAGCCACACUGGGACUGAGACACGGCCCAGACUCCUAC